This 231-nucleotide ribosomal RNA is filed under the name Triticum aestivum (bread wheat). Its description in RNAcentral is "partial small subunit ribosomal RNA". Lineage: Eukaryota; Viridiplantae; Streptophyta; Magnoliopsida; Poales; Poaceae. The record is from RNAcentral.
AUGGCUCCUACCGAGGCUGAGGCUGAUGUAGAGGAGGGAGAAGAGAAGAAGAAGAAGGAAAGGAAAGCAGCCGGAGUUGCUUUCACGUGGAUUCAGGAACACUUUGCCACUUGCCCUGUGGAUGCCACUGAUGAUGUGAUCCAGACACAUGCUCGUGUCUAUAUGUGGUACGUUGUCUCGAGGACUUUGUUCCUGACUCCACGGGCAAGAACGCUCCAUGGAUGUGGCUGA